Molecule: long non-coding RNA, 581 nt
Filed under: Panax ginseng (ginseng)
Lineage: Eukaryota; Viridiplantae; Streptophyta; Magnoliopsida; Apiales; Araliaceae
Description: long non-coding RNA (PGIN_LNC002080)
Source: RNAcentral
UUGGCUCUAUGACAUGAAUUCUGAGACUGAUGGUGAGCCCGAACCAAAUCUGCAAUCAGAUGUGCCAAAUGAUAUAGAUGUUGAAAGAGGGGAAAGACUUGGGGACCAAGAAAAAGAGAUCGGCAAAGAUCUAACUUCGAGUACCAACAAGAUGAGCCAAUUUCAUUAGUAUCCCAUGUGCCUCCUCCACCAAAGUUCAAGAAUCCGGGAAGUUUUGCAAAACCAUGCCCAAUUGGAAGUUAUGUCGUCGGCAAAGCUCUUGGUAACGUAAGAGCAAGUACAGUUGUGGAGUCAUGGUGGGAUGAAAAGGAGAAGAUAGAUGAAGAUUCCAUUAUGUUUAUUAAGCUUCAAUGCCCUAAUAUGAUCAUCGACAUAAUGGAGGAAACACCUAGUGGUUUGCUGUUCUUAAUGGGGAUCCUAUCUACAAAGAGCAUGCUAGGUGACUUCAAUUCAAGGGUUUUUGCUAAUGGGAACCUCCCAAAAGAGACAUUGCUUCUGAUGGAUGGAGGGUUCCUCAAUUUUCGUAGGGGAAUUGGAUAGAGAAUUGAAGAAGUCAGGCUGAGACUAUAAAACAAGCGCUU